This 684-nucleotide long non-coding RNA is filed under the name Gallus gallus (chicken). RNAcentral's name for it is "lncRNA (ENSGALG00010000135.1)". Lineage: Eukaryota; Metazoa; Chordata; Aves; Galliformes; Phasianidae. The record is from RNAcentral.
CUAUGGGGUCUCCAUGGGACUCUAUGGGGCUCUAUGGAGGUCUAUGGGGCUCUAUGGGGUAUCUAUGGGCGGCUAUGGGGGUCUAUGGGGGUCUAUGGGGUUCAAAGAAGUCUCUAUGGGGCUCUAUGGGGUCUCUAUGGGGGCUCUAUGGGGGCUCUAUGGGGGUCUAUGGGGGCUCUAUGCGGGUCUAUGGGGUCUCUAUGUCCCACCACCGCCAAUGGGGCGCCCAUCCCCGGCCCUACAAGUGGGGGGGGGAAAGGGGCAGGGAGAUAUGGGGUCUAUGGGGCUCUAUGGGGCUCUAUGGGGCCUCUAUGGGAGUCUAUGGGGGUCUACGAGGCUCUAUGAGGGCUCUAUGGGGCUCUACAGGGAUCUAUGGGGACUCUAUGGGGGUCUAUGGGGUCCCUAUGGGGGUCUUUGGGGUCCCUAUGGGGAGUCUAUGGGGGUCCAUGGGGUCUCUAUGGGGAGUCUAUGGGGGUCCAUGGGGUCUCUAUGGGGGUCUAUGAGGGUCUAUGGGGGCUCCAUGGCGCUCUAUGGGGGUCUAUGGGGUCUCUAUGGGGCUCUAUGGGGCUCUAUGGGGGCUCUAUGGGGCUCUAUGGGGCUCUAUGAGGUCUCUAUGGGGCUCUAUGGGUCCCUAUGUCCCACCACCGCCAAUGGGGCGCCCAUCCCCGGCCCUACAAGUGGGGG